Molecule: unclassified non-coding RNA, 282 nt
Filed under: root metagenome
Description: partial contains small subunit ribosomal RNA, internal transcribed spacer 1, and 5.8S ribosomal RNA
Source: RNAcentral
UUUCCAUAGGUGAAUCUGUGGAAGGAUCAUUGUCGUGACCCUGACCAAAACAAACUGCGCACGCGUCAUCCAAUCCGCCGGUGAUGGCAUCGUCCGUCGCUCGACCAAGUCCUAGACUGCCUCCCCUCCUUGGAGUGGGGGCUCGGGGUAAAAGAACCCAUGGUGCCGAAGGCGUCAAGGAAAAUGUGCCUAACCUGGGGGCAUGGCUAGCUUGCUAGUUGUCCCCCGUGUUGCCAAGCUAUUUAAUCCACACGACUCUCGGCAACGGAUAUCCCGGCUCUC